UGGGGAAUUUUGGACAAUGGGCGAAAGCCUGAUCCAGCAAUGCCGCGUGUGUGAAGAAGGCCUUCGGGUUGUAAAGCACUUUUGUCCGGAAAGAAAUCCUUGGCUCUAAUACAGUCGGGGGAUGACGGUACCGGAAGAAUAAGCGCCGGCUAACUACGUGCCAGCAGCCGCGGUAAUACGUAGGGUGCAAGCGUUAAUCGGAAUUACUGGGCGUAAAGCGUGCGCAGGCGGUUUGCUAAGACCGAUGUGAAAUCCCCGGGCUCAACCUGGGAACUGCAUUGGUGACUGGCAGGCUAGAGUAUGGCAGAGGGGGGUAGAAUUCCACGUGUAGCAGUGAAAUGCGUAGAGAUGUGGAGGAAUACCGAUGGCGAAGGCAGCCCCCUGGGCCAAUACUGACGCUCAUGCACGAAAGCGUGGGGAGCAAACAGGAUUAGAUACCCUGGUAGUCCACGCCCUAAACGAUGUCAACUAGUUGUUGGGGAUUCAUUUCCUUAGUAACGUAGCUAACGCGUGAAGUUGACCGCCUGGGGAGUACGGUCGCAAGAUU
RNAcentral lists this ribosomal RNA (547 nucleotides) under uncultured bacterium. RNAcentral describes it as "partial 16S ribosomal RNA". It matches the Rfam family "Bacterial small subunit ribosomal RNA", at positions 355 to 895 of the family's 1533-position model. The record is from RNAcentral.